Non-coding RNA from Rhodocollybia butyracea, 84 nucleotides. The record is from the annotation of a GenBank genome assembly. Lineage: Eukaryota; Fungi; Basidiomycota; Agaricomycetes; Agaricales; Omphalotaceae.
GGCCGCUUGGCGUAAUGGCAACGCGCUAGUUUCCGACAUAUGGUCGUUCGCUAGAGAUUGUGGGUUCGAGUCCCAUGGUGGUCG